AACGGCGCAGCACGACUGGUGGUGCGCGCCCCUCGUAAGGGCGAGGUUGGGCGUUCGAGUCGCCCCGCUG
This 70-nucleotide transfer RNA is filed under the name Micromonospora ureilytica. RNAcentral's name for it is "tRNA-Thr". The record is from RNAcentral. Lineage: Bacteria; Bacillati; Actinomycetota; Actinomycetes; Micromonosporales; Micromonosporaceae.